Molecule: ribosomal RNA, 94 nt
Filed under: Monilinia laxa
Lineage: Eukaryota; Fungi; Ascomycota; Leotiomycetes; Helotiales; Sclerotiniaceae
Description: partial 28S ribosomal RNA
Rfam family: Eukaryotic large subunit ribosomal RNA (bases 37-94)
Source: RNAcentral
CGGUGUGCUUCUGCCAAAACCCAAAUUUUCUAUGGUUGACCUCGGAUCAGGUAGGGAUACCCGCUGAACUUAAGCAUAUCAAUAAGCGGAGGAA